Molecule: long non-coding RNA, 724 nt
Organism: Microtus ochrogaster (prairie vole)
Lineage: Eukaryota; Metazoa; Chordata; Mammalia; Rodentia; Cricetidae
Source: RefSeq, a predicted model, not a curated record
UCAGGACCUUUGGAAGAGCAGGCAAUGGUCUUAACCACUGAGCCAUCUCUCCAGCCCCAGGACCUGUACUUCCGAACAGGACACAAUCCUGCCCUUGACUCUUCAUCGGACUCUAGACAUCAUGGCUCUACUUUCUGCGUGUAUGUACUUUUUUCUACCCAUGGAGCUUCAUAGCCUGAAGAAGAGUCCAUCAGACUAGCUGUUAUGAGUGAUAAGAAUCUUUUAAGCAUGAAGAAGUUAAGUGACCUACUGGGUUCCAUGGUGACAAAUCCAAGAAGACAGGAGAGCCCGUUAGCUCCAGCUUCCAGUAUGACUAGUACCAAACAAGCUUGGACGGAUGCAGACCACAAGAAAGUCUACAGCCCAGAGGCUCCGUGUAACUGGAGACCUGAAGGAGUGAGGAGGAAAAACUUCACCCAUUCAUUCAUCUUGUUGGUGGUUAUUAAGGGCCAAGUUCUGUGCUAAGUGCCCUCAGGAAAGAACAAGCGUGAAUUAUUUUCCUCAGAAUAAAAUGCACAGUGCCUGGGGUGCUAUCGGGUCAGCUCUGGCAUGGAACAAGUAAGGAAGGGGUGGGAGCAAACAGAUGGAAAAAGACGGGGAAUGAGUGAUCUCCAUCCACGAGAAGCCUGGGGACCGCAGCCCACUGCUGGCUGGUAGAUCACUGUGACUGCCAGGAUUUUGUUCUAUCUAGAACCUGAAGGAAGACGGUGUUUCCAUAAAUGAA